CCUACGGGAGGCAGCAGUGGGGAAUAUUGCACAAUGGGCGAAAGCCUGAUGCAGCGACGCCGCGUGAGCGAAGAAGUAUUUCGGUAUGUAAAGCUCUAUCAGCAGGGAAGAUAAUGACGGUACCUGACUAAGAAGCACCGGCUAAAUACGUGCCAGCAGCCGCGGUAAU
Molecule: ribosomal RNA, 169 nt
Filed under: uncultured bacterium
Lineage: Bacteria
Also listed under: 2 other names
Description: partial 16S ribosomal RNA
Rfam family: Bacterial small subunit ribosomal RNA
Source: RNAcentral